Molecule: ribosomal RNA, 465 nt
Filed under: Vreelandella stevensii
Lineage: Bacteria; Pseudomonadati; Pseudomonadota; Gammaproteobacteria; Oceanospirillales; Halomonadaceae
Description: partial 16S ribosomal RNA
Rfam family: Bacterial small subunit ribosomal RNA
Source: RNAcentral
CCUACGGGGGGCUGCAGUGGGGAAUAUUGGACAAUGGGGGGAACCCUGAUCCAGCCAUGCCGCGUGUGUGAAGAAGGCCCUCGGGUUGUAAAGCACUUUCAGUGAGGAAGAACGCCUGGUGGUUAAUACCCAUCAGGAAAGACAUCACUCACAGAAGAAGCACCGGCUAACUCCGUGCCAGCAGCCGCGGUAAUACGGAGGGUGCGAGCGUUAAUCGGAAUUACUGGGCGUAAAGCGCGCGUAGGUGGCUUGAUAAGCCGGUUGUGAAAGCCCUGGGCUCAACCUGGGAACGGCAUCCGGAACUGUCAAGCUAGAGUGCAGGAGAGGAAGGUAGAAUUCCCGGUGUAGCGGUGAAAUGCGUAGAGAUCGGGAGGAAUACCAGUGGCGAAGGCGGCCUUCUGGACUGACACUGACACUGAGGUGCGAAAGCGUGGGUAGCAAACAGGAUUAGAUACCCUUGUAGUC